Molecule: RNA transcript, 4069 nt
Organism: Oreochromis niloticus (Nile tilapia)
Lineage: Eukaryota; Metazoa; Chordata; Actinopteri; Cichliformes; Cichlidae
Gene name: 2-5A-dependent ribonuclease
Exons: 9
Source: RefSeq, a predicted model, not a curated record
UGGUUUAUACCUAAGAUUUUUUUUAAAAAUAUAUUAUUAACAUAACAAGAGGAAACAUAGAUUUGAUUCUUUAUUUAUUCAUUUCUUUUAUUUUCUUUCAUUUUCUCUUAAGCUCAAAGGCUGUUUUUAUUUCCACAGUGAUGGCAGCAGCAGUGUUCAGGAGCAGAGGACUGGCUGGUGUCAGAAACACCAACGUUUUAAUCCUCAUCUUUCUGCUGUCCCUGGUUUAUGUCACAAAUUCACUGAUGAAAUUUUAAGCCUGUGUCGGCAACAAGGCGGGACCGCUACUUCGCAAAGAACAAGACUCGCUUGAGCGCACUCCUUAAACAGGAGGAUCCGAAAGAGACGGAGAAGUUCUGAGAGGAGCAGCGACUUGACUUCGGUAAUCUGAAGCAAAGACAUGAAUUCUGUCACUCCAGGAAUUGAACACCUCCAGUAAGAGAAACACACCCUGUAAUAGAGUGUAUAUUUAAUGAUGACCUUGAGAAGCUUAAAACAUUACUGAAGAACAGUGAUGUUAAUGAACUUUAUCACUGUAAAGACUGGGAUGAUGAUAUAACCCCACUGAUUGCUGCUGUUGCAAAGCACAACAAACCUAUAUCUUUUGACCUUUUAAUUAAUGGUGCGGACCCAAAUAUAACUUCUAAACACCACUUCACACCUUUGCAUUAUUUCUCCCUGACCAACACACUUGAUUUUGUGGAGAAACUCCUGGAAGCAAAUUCUCAUCCAGAUGGAUCUACUCCAAUGCAACCACAUAAACACACAUCAGUGCCAACUGCUGAUAUUAGAGACAAAGAGGAUGUCAUGCAAAGACUCAUUUCUGCUGGUGCACGGGUCACAUUGCUGCCCAAGAAUGAUGCUGAGUGUGUUAGUAACAAUAAUAAAAAGUCUCAGAUGAUUGCAUCAAAUGAAGAUGAGGCAUUUUCCAAGAUCAGAGAUUUUAUUGAUGUGGAAACUGCUGCUUUUAAAACACCUGAAGAAGUGUUUACAACUGAUAACAAUAAGAUGCUGUUAGAGAAUCCAGAGUCACAUUUGACCAUAUAUGAAAUUCUCUUUACUGGGAGAGGAAAAGAAAAACAUGGCCAGAGAUGUAUUACAUGGCUAAAGGAAACUGGAAAUGUGAAUACUUACAUUGCAGGUGCAGCCAGUCGUUUUCCAAACAUCCCUAAGACACAUGUAAGGCUGGCAGUUGAAGGUUUAAAUGCAGUUUUCUGUACAAUGGAUGACAUAACAAAUGAGCAUGCAGUAGCUAUAGUUCCACAACUACUGAACCUGCUUGACUCACAAGACAGUGGUGUUUGUGAAGCAGUGCUACAAACACUCUAUGUGAUAACACAGAAAACAAAAGGCACAAAGAGCUGGGACUUUUUAGAGAACUUAUGCAGAACAGUUGCCCCUUUUGUAAAUGAGAAGCACCCCACUAACAUCAGGGUCUACACAUAUAGCAUAGUCGCAAAUCUGAUGUCAGUUGAACAGGCAGCUAAAAUUUUUACAUCAGAGGUUGUAACUUCCGUGCCCAAGGACAUACUGACAUCAGCUGAAAUGAAAAUGAAUCAAAAGCUGAAAGAAGUGCUGAGAAGUCUGAAAAAUUAUUUGAGCAAACCAAACUCAGAAUGUGAGGGAAAUGCAGCAUCGUCUGUGGCCAGGAAUAUGAAGGAAAUGCCGGAAUCAGCUUCAGAUGAAACGCCUUUCAACCAACACGAGUUUCGCAGGACACCAGUGAGCAAGAGGUGGAAGAAGCUCCUGGAUAAACUGGAGCAAGAUGUUCGCAAUGGGAAAAAAAACAGUAAUCAGAAUCGGAAAAUGUUUUUAUGUGAAUGAUUCAAACUUAAAAUAAAUAAAAAAGAAAAGGGUACUGAAGUCUUCUUGGGACUGAGAGAGGAUGGCACAGAAGUUACCAUUAAGAAAAUGUCUAAAAGCAACAGUGGCAAUCUGAAGAGUGAAAAAGAAAUCCUACAACUCCCUAAACUCGAUCAUCCUCAUAUCAUACGAUAUGUUGAUGUUGAAGAGGACAAGAAAUUUGAAUAUCUUUGUCUGCAACUUUUUGAAUACACCUUGGAUAGCUAUAUCAACGAAAUUAAUAAAGACCGUGGGAAAGAUUUCCUUUUACAGAGACUCGUCAAACAACUUCUUGAAAGUCUAAAGGUGCUUCACUCUCAAGAUCCUCCAAUUCUCCACAAAAAUCUCAUACCCAAGAACAUUUUGAUUGAUGUUAUUGGGAGGGUAAGAUUAGCUGGUUUUGGCAUGAGCAACCAGAAACAAGACUCAUACACGUCAAGCAGUGAAAUAAAGGUGGCAGGAUUUCUGAUUUCUCAUAUCCUCUCUGGAGCCCGGCGUAAAUUUAAAACUGAAAUCAAAAAAUGUAAGGACAAUUUGAAACAUAUUAACGAUGUGGUGGCAAAGAAUCUCAUCAAGUGGAUGAUCAGAGAUGAGCCAGAGGGCAGACCCAAAGCAGAAGAAUGCUUGGACCAUCCCUUCUUCUGGACUAAGAACGAGAAAUUUGAAUACCCGAGAUGGACUGCUAACAGGAAGGAAGUGAAAAACUGUCGGGAGGCUGACCAGAACCUGAAACCCUUUAAAGACUGGAAAAAAGAGUUUUCAUCCACUAUUGUUACGGAGCUGGACACUUAUAGUCGUGAAACACCUCCCAAACCCAAACCAUACCCUGAAACUGUAUUUGGACUGCUCCUUUUUAUACGUAAUCUCCAUGAGCAUUAUCCGCAUUACGCAAAGGAGUGUGAUGCAGUGAACAAAUUUCCAGAUCUCUUUGGUUGGGUUUACAAGUAUGCCGAGGACCAUCACUGGAAUUCAGAGUCACCUUUGAAAGAAAUGUUUCAAAGAAAAAAAGACAAAGUGGACUUUAGCACAGUGUUGUGAUGCCAUCUAUGAGCACUGAGGAGUGAGCAGUCUCAACCUACUAAAAUGAAAAUGAAAUGAAAGUUGAAUUCAGAAUGAAGGACCACUCAGUGGCUGUGGAGCUUGAGAGAAGUAAUAAAAAUAUGUAAAUAUAAGUAUUAUUGUAUGGCGCUCAUCUUACUUCAGUAUCUUUUAUUUUGUCAGGCUGUAUACUUUCAAAGACUUCUUUUAGUUUUGUUUUGCUACUAGUUAACUCCCAAUUGAAUGAAGAUAGGUAGAAACAAUGGAGGUUCAGGAUGAAGAAUCUCAUGAAUGACUAAGGCUAACAUACUGCCAGUGAAAAACAAGAAAAGCAGUUAGUAGCUUUAGAACCACAGAUGUAAUUAAACCAUAAGAUGCAGGCUGUGUUCUUCUCAGGCAUGUACAAGCAUGACCCUGAAACUAUACCUAAAUUGAUUUAAGCUAAAUUUAAGUUCAAUGUAUUUGAGCUACAAUGUAUGAUUUGUGUCUGUUAUCGUCUACUGUGCCUUGUAUGAAAUAAUAAUUAUAUUAUCUUUUUUGCCAAAGUCUCACAGAAGCAUAUUAGAAAAUCAUUUUUUUGUGAAAUUGCAUACUUUUUUAUGUAGUUAAUCUAGCAUGAUACCUUUAUUUUGCUGUAUUUGUUUAUUCAGUUAAUUUUGAAGCCUAAUUCUACAUCACGAAAUGAAAAGAAGAGAACGAAUAGAUAUAAAUGAAAUUCUUUUGAUCUCUUUCAUAAAAAUUUAACUUAGAAAAAGGAGCAUCUGAUUAUUCCACUAGUUUUUUGAACUUUCCACUUCCUGUUGUAGGCUUACAGAGCUUAUGAAUAAAAUAGUAUGCACAUGCAUUUUGUUAUGUAAAAUUUUCAUUAUAUGAUCCAAAUUGUACAAACAUUCUAUCACACAAGUCUUUAUACUUAAUUGUAAGAUCCACAAACAGAUGUGGCAGAUAUUAUAUUGGAUUUCAUAAAAUGCCAAGCUUCUGAGACCUUCUUUAAAAAAAAAACUUUAAAAAUGUGAUGAAUUGUGCGUAUUUUAUUCGAACUUUUAAAUUUACUUUUAGUAGUAAUAGUCUGGAGGUCGAUUCUUAUCUAGCUUAAUAAAUUUGUAAAAAUGUCACAGUGAAUAUAAAAUGUUUUAUACUUUUUUCACUUUAAAGCUCAUUGAGGUAAAAUAAAGGUAACCAGAGAACA